GCUGUCUAAGUAUAAGCGACUAUACUGUGAAACUGCGAAUGGCUCAUUAAAUCAGUUAUGGUUUAUUUGAUGGUACCUACUACCUGGAUAACCGUAGUAAUUCUAGAGCUAAUACAUGCAGGAAGACCCGACUUCGGAAGGGUUGUAUUUAUUAGAUAAGAAACCAAUCCAGCUCGCUGGUUGCGUGCCGAGUCACAAUAACUGCUCGAAUCGCAUGACUUUACGUUGGCGAUGGUUCAUUCAAAUUUCUGCCCUAUCAGCUUUCGAUGGUAGGAUCGAGGCCUACCAUGGCGUUUACGGGUAACGGGGAAUUAGGGUUCGAUUCCGGAGAGGGAGCCUGAGAAAUGGCUACCACAUCCAAGGAAGGCAGCAGGCGCGUAAAUUGCCCGAAUCCUGACACAGGGAGGUAGUGACAAGAAAUAACGAUACAGGGCUACAUCUAGUCUUGUAAUUGGAAUGAGUACAAUUUACAUCUCUUAACGAUGAUCAAUUGGAGGGCAAGUCUGGUGCCAGCAGCCGCGGUAAUUCCAGCUCCAAUAGCGUAUAUUAAAGUUGUUGCAGUUAGAACGCUCGUAGUCGGAUUUCGGGGCAGUCCGACCGGUCUGCCGAUGGGUAUGCACUGGCCGGAGUGUCCUUUUUGCCGGAGACCGUGCCUACUCUUAACUGAGCGGGGGCGGGAGACGGCACUUUUACUUUGAAAAAAUCAGAGUGUUUCAAGCAGGCAGCUCGCUCUUGCAUGGAUUAGCAUGGGAUAAUGAAAUAGGACUUUGGUGCUAUUUUGUUGGUUUCGAACACCGAAGUAAUGAUGAG
Molecule: ribosomal RNA, 810 nt
Filed under: uncultured marine Prymnesiales
Lineage: Eukaryota; Haptophyta; Prymnesiales
Description: SSU rRNA
Rfam family: Eukaryotic small subunit ribosomal RNA
Source: RNAcentral